Molecule: non-coding RNA, 26 nt
Filed under: Arabidopsis thaliana (thale cress)
Lineage: Eukaryota; Viridiplantae; Streptophyta; Magnoliopsida; Brassicales; Brassicaceae
Also listed under: 9 other names
Source: RNAcentral
GGUGGGGAGUUUGGCUGGGGCGGCAC